Molecule: long non-coding RNA, 1106 nt
Filed under: Hordeum vulgare
Lineage: Eukaryota; Viridiplantae; Streptophyta; Magnoliopsida; Poales; Poaceae
Description: long non-coding RNA (HVUL_LNC017548)
Source: RNAcentral
CCAUCUAUUUCAAAGAUCGCAUAACGCUCUAGAUCUCAGAAGAUGGAUUUCUAGCCCCCUCUAUUAUAAAACGGGGUGCCACCGGAGCAACAUAAUGUGUGUUACAAAGCGUUUGCACAUGCUUUUCUUCGUCUAAAGUCUUUCUUUUCUGAUGUCUCCUAUUCUCAAGCCGGCUUUUCUCUUUUUUCUUGUAUUCUACUAGCUCCACCCUAAUUACAAGAUGUUUUGAACAUUUCAAUAUGGAUUAUAUAAGGACAGAAAUGAGUAAACAAACACACCUAGACACAUAUAUAUACGGCUGAUUCAAAUAAAAGUUAGAACAUCUUAUAGUUCAGAAUGGAGAGAUAGUUGUUAAGAGUUGAUGAAGGACAAAAGAUAGGUGUUGAUCCAAAUGAUUUACCGUGGAGAGAACACACUUGAUGUAUGGUCGGUGAUGUAUAAAUUGUGAGCCAAGCGUGUGGCUGCUAGAACAUUUAUGCCACAUCAAUUAUGUGUGCUUUUUUAUGGAAUAUCCUUUAUAUAUAAUGAAGUGUUAUCUAGCAAUAGAAUGGUAAAAUGCGUGGAGCAUGAACCGUCAUCAAACCAUGGAUAUGGUAAGGAUUUCUCCAAUUAUUUUCUCCAAAAAAUUUUAUCCUAUAUUUGUAAGAAGAUAUCAAGUCACUAGCCAGUUUGUCCAACCAGUCGUUGCAACUAAUGAAUUGUCCUUCAAAAAUGAAACAAUAAUGAGUACUAGGGGGCAAGAUAUGGGUGAUCCUCACUUGUAACCAAAUCAAUACCAAUUGUGUGAUUGUAUACAUAUUGACAAAUAAUAUGAUGAUUAAUAUUUGUGAGCUGCAUGACUUGCUUUAUUUAUCAAACAUAUACAACUCUACUAGAUCAUGAAAGCGCAAGGCAGACUACUAGAAAAAAGUCCUUGCUUUGAUCAUCAUAGAUGGAAGAGGAAAACUAGCACUAUUUAGCACCAACAAUCACCUCGGUCCCCAUCAAUGGUGUCAUGAUCAAAUAGAACAUUGUCAGCGAAAAAGACACCACUAUGAGCUGAAAUUGCGUACAUUAUUACCAGUGACAACCCAUCUCUUCUAAUGUGCUCUAUACUAGGCCUUCAC